AGUACAAAGUGCCCUAGAUGACAGCCCAUCAUCUCACCUGCCUUCUGUGCUCUAGGUGUUGAAAAUAAACCACUUGUCACAUAGAACAGAAAUGUAUCUCAGAGCUUGCAUGAGAUCUGGGAACUUCAUACCUGGCAGUUGUACUGGAUGACUGUUGCACUGAAUCUCCCUCUCACCACGAGACGUUUCAGAAGCACCCCAGAGGUGGUCCCAGUGGUCAAGAACAGCAUCCCAGUCACACGCAGAGCACAGCCUGGGGAGAGGAUGGGGAAGGCAGCUGAGAGCAUCGCCUUGUGUCAUGGCUGGAAGCUGCUCAAAACACUGUGGAGGUUUGAGGUGACCUCUCCCCAUCCUCUGACCCUGAUCCUCACCUCACUGUUUCCCACGUCAAAGUUCAGACAGUCCUCACUGAUCUCACGUUCAUCUUCCCACUGCUGGGUCCCUUGCUGUUCUGCAGGUCUUCCCUGCUGUGUCACAUUGGUUUCCCCCUGCUUUGCAUGGAUCUGCGUGGUGAGGGCAGGGGGUAGCCACACGUUCCUCUCUGCCUUGCCCCUACCCUGAGCGGGUUGGAGGGAACCAUCUGAGAAGGAACCGGGCGACUCCUUCAGCCCUGCAGAGCCAGCUGACCUCCUGCAAUGUUCCAGCUGCGACAGAGGAGCCAUCCCUGCUGUGUUUUGCCAGUUCCAAGACAAGACACAGUGUGACAAACAGGAAAGAGACCCAGAGAAACCCAACCACUUGUCUGAAAACUCCAGGACUUUCAGGACUGACUCAGAUGCUGUAUCAUUCUUCCCCUGCUCUGAAAGGCACAAGAGCACACUGCACCUGGACCCCACCUGGACCACACCUGGAUACUUGCAUCUGGGAACUGGUUUAAAACUAGCAUCUGCCUCAGCCUGGGCACAGCUUGCACAUCGCAAAACCACCUAGAAGAAAGAGGAUCCCCAGGAAGCCCAGAUCUAGAAAAGGACAAGCUCUUUAUACAAAUGCCCAGAGG
This is a long non-coding RNA of Centrocercus urophasianus (Greater sage-grouse), 997 nucleotides long. RefSeq lists it as uncharacterized. The transcript is spliced from 3 exons. The record is from RefSeq and is a predicted model, not a curated record. Lineage: Eukaryota; Metazoa; Chordata; Aves; Galliformes; Phasianidae.